CUUCCUCUAAAAAACCCCUUCUGCUUUAGUUGUCCUUUCGAUCACCGACUCCACUAUUCUCCAUCGGUGGCCUUCUUCGCCGCGAAGGGAGGGGGCCGAAGGCGUCGUCUCUUCUCCGCUGGCUCUGAUCGCUGAUGAGACUGCAUUCUCUCUUCCUCGAGAGCUCCAAGCGCAUCGAAUUCGGUUGUUGUCUCACUUUAUGUAAUACUCACAACAGCUCCAAGCAUGUAUCCUGUUUUUCUGAUUCCAAGGGGCCAAGCCCUGAGCAGAGCAGUAACCAACUCAAAGAACAGAGGAAACAGAGGCUAGAGCAUGGGAAAGGCAACUUCCUUGCUCUCAGCAACGGUGAAGUAGAGAAGCCCUGGUAGGAAGUUGUUGGAUUGGAGAGUUGUCAAGGUAAAGGUGGUUCCUCAUUCUACUUUCAUAUGUGACCUGAUAAUAACCAUUAAAUCUCAUGAUAUCUUAGUUAUCCUCUAUUGAAACACUGAUGUAUUAUUGAGAUAAAUUAGUUCUUGACACAAUAUUUUAAUGGUUUUUCAUAUUCAUUAUUAAAUGAAUUAAGGAUGGUUCUCAUUAUUCUUCCCUACCUUCCCCCACUCUAGGCACUAAUUUGAAAUUCCUUCUAGAUGUUCUAUUACUUUUGUCAUUGCCUAAUUUGAUAUUCCACUCCUGAUUGCCAAAGUGUGCACUAAUCUGGAUAGUUUGACAUGAUCAAUAUUCUAAAACUAAUAUAAUCAAUAUUUAUGUAUGCUAUCCUUGGAAAUAUUGUAUUAUGCUUGCAAAGAGGACCAUGUAUUUCUUUUUUUUUUAAUUUGUUAAUUUACCAUUGUUUUAUCAUAAGGCUUUAUUCCUCUUAUGCAAUCAUCAAUUUGGACCAUGCCUUUAAGUAUAAUUAAUUGUAUGUGGAGAGAUGGCCAUUGAUCGUAUAGAUAUGAAUAAGAGAGAAGAGUUGCUAUGGCUGUUGCAGGGAUAUAUUAUGGCAUGAUGAUGUUCUUAAUGGCAUAGUAUAUGGUUUCACUAGUCAUAGUUGUUAGGAGUAGAUUAGUGCUUAAGUCGAUAUCGGGAGAAGGUGAAGAUAACAAAGAUGAUUUCCACGCUAAUUCACAUUGUACUAAAUGUUAUGUCUCUUCUUAUUCAUUAAACAUUGUUAUCAUUUGUCCUGGUGAUAUGUAUGGCUUGUCAUAAUUUAUUAUGGGCUUGUUGUCUAUCAAUGCUUACAGAUUGCUUUUAUUCUUAAUGAAAGAAUUGUAUGUCGUAUAUUCUAAUUUAUAUUAACUAACUGUGUUUUACAAAUCGUAUUGUAAUUGUUAUAUGCAUUGCAUAGAAAUGAGCAUUUCAACUGCUUGGACCUCUAAAAAGGUGAAGGGAGCAUCAAAGCAAAAUAGAACUUGAGGUCCUUUGAGGAGGCCAAGUUGGUUGAGCGAUUGUUGGAUCUAUUAAACUCUGGACAUUGGAAGAGAGACAAUGAUACUUUUAGAAGUGGUUAUCUUAGGCGAUUCGAGAAGUGGAUGGAGGAAAAGCUUCCUUUUUGUGGCUUAAAGACUAGCCCACAUAUUGAAUGAAGAGUGCAACAUCUAAAAAGGCAAUAAACUAGGACUUCAAGCUACAGGAUUUGGCUGGAAUGAAAUAGACAAAUGCAUCACAUGUGAGGAAAAUAUCUUCAAUGACUGGAUAAAGAUAAUAUACAUUCUUAUUAGAUGUUAACAUAAUUUCUUUUCUUCUUUUUUUCUUAAAAAUUUCUAAGUUAAACACCCUAUUGACACUUGGUUGUUCGCUUGUUCUCAUCUUUUGCUUCUCAAAAUCAUCCAUAUGCCAAAGGGAGUAGAAAUAAAUCCUUUCUCCACUUGAAUGAGUUGGUAGUAGUGUUUGAUAGAGACAAAUUAAUCGGAGGGGCAGCCAAGGCACUAACAAAUGCGGUAGAGACUAUGGAGCGAAUGAAAGAGACGGCAAAUGCUACUAAGUUUGUUAAGAAAGAGAUAGCGGAUGUAAUUUGCAAUAAUAAUAUAGAGAAUAUCCAAAAAAAUUGAGUUGGUUCUGCAUCUGACACAGAGUCAUCUAGUAGCACCCAACCUAGCCAAGCAGCUAAUCCAUCUUUUGGCUGCACAAGUCAAAGAGAUCAACAAAUAGUAUUAAUAAUGAUCCAUUGAUAAGAGUCUUCUCAAAUGAGCUCUCUAAGUUGGGAUCAUACCUUCAAAUGACUGGAGAGCAUAUCAAACAAUUGGCUAGGGUAUUCAAUGUGGAAAGGGAGAUGAGGAUGAAAAUAUUUGAUGAAAUUCUUAAGAUUGAAGGGCUGACUCAACAUGAGAGGAUGAUGGUGGGAAAAAAAAUUUCGAGUGAUGUAUUAGACACUGAUUAUUUCUUUAGUCCAUCUGAAGAUUAUAAACGUGCUUAUGUUCUUGCCAUAUUGCAUUUGUGACCAGUAAGCUACAGAUUAUGCAUUUAUGUGACUAAUAUUAUAUUUGAUGUGGGUUGUUUUUUAAGCUUACCUAUUGUGUUACUCAUAUUUACCUUGGACUUAUAUUUCAGUACUUAUAUUUAAUAAUCUUUGUGAUGAAGUUGCAAAGUGUUUUGGGGUAGACUAUUGCAUGUGAGCGGAAAAUUUCUUUAUUAUUCUUAGUUAUUAGUAUUUGGGAAGUGCUUUUCGUGAUGUACCUCCAAAAUAUUUUUGAUUAUGUUGGCAAUUAUUCUGAGUUGCAUAG
This is a non-coding RNA of Elaeis guineensis (African oil palm), 2699 nucleotides long. The record is from RefSeq and is a predicted model, not a curated record. Lineage: Eukaryota; Viridiplantae; Streptophyta; Magnoliopsida; Arecales; Arecaceae.